UUGAGAGUUGAGGUUUUCCACAAAGAAGUUCGACGAGAUUGCGAGCUUCGUGAUCGAGGAUUUCUAUGCGGCUUGUGGUAAUUUGUGAUGGAUUAGUUGGAGCACCCCUGGAGGGUUAAAUCUUUUCGGAAAGCCGUGCCUGCGGUUAUGUGGCAACGUGGAAACUUUGUUUAACACUGGUUCUAGAUAACUUGAAGUUAACUUAACUAAAACAUGCCAACUGUGUGCGUAACCGUGACUAUCUCUUUCGUGAGUUCCUUCUCCGAUCGAGGGCACGGUGGGGUUAUGUCUGACGUAAGUAGGUGUUCAGGAUCAUUCAUUUGAUCAUCAGUAGUUCGCGUCCGUUAUGCGUAGAUCAUCCCCCUCUUUAGUCUUGUACUCGUAGGAUAGCCACCAAAUACAUGCUUAGUCGCUUGUUGCAGCCUCACCACUUAACCUACCUCACUUAUUAAGCUUUGCUAGUCUUAAUACCUUUGGAAAUGAGAUUGCUGAGUCCCCUAUGGCUCAAAGAUUACUACACCACUAGUUGAAGGUACAUGUAAAGGUUACUUGACGCGAGCGCGUUGAUUGUUCAUUUGGAGUUGCUUCUUCUUCUUCUUCAUUGAUCUAGGAUGGGUUCCAGGCCGGCAGCCUAGGAUAGCAAGGAUGGACGUCGUUCUUCUUUUCUUGUUUGUUUUCGUCCAUAGUCGGACCCUGCUCUUCUUCGUGAUAUUUAUGUAUUGUAAUGAUAUGACUCUGAUGUAGCUUGUGGCGAGUGUAAGUCAAUUCUAUAUAUAUCUCUACUUUUCAGUACAUGUACUUGUAACGAUAUCCAUUCUUGCGAAACGACGAGAUGCGCUUCUAUCCCUGACGAGGCCCUCGUGCCAAAUUGAGGAUAGGGUCGCAUCUUGGGCGUGACAAGUUGGUAUAAGAGCAGUACCGACCUAGGAGCCCCCUUGAUUGAUCGAACUUGGCCGAGUCGAGUCUAGUCAAAACUAUUUUGAGUCGUAGUUAUAUCGGAGAGUAGGUUUCUUUUUUUUCUCCUCUUCUAUGCUCUUGUGAGGUUCAUGACUUAGGAAUUUUAAUUCUACCCCUCUUCUCACUCAAUUUUUUUAGGAUCACGCGGAUAUUUUUGGGAUCUAUAUGAUGUCGAUGUGACGGAGUUCUGUCUUGGUGCCUCCUGUCUGACUUGAUUUCUUCCGGGGAGUUGAGCUCUAGGGGAUUCUCGUGAACAUCGUUAUCAUUCAGAUUUCUUAGUAUCUCAGAACGAAGGAUGUUCGUAAUUGCUUCAAUACUAGUAGUGGCGAGAUAACCCCGAUGUCCCCGGUACUAGUCCGGAUUGUUCGGGAGUACUUCCAUACUUUGUAUCAUUGUGAUCACGAGGGUGUGUAGUAGAUGAAGGUCCGAGAUUCUGGUUAUGUGUUGACGGAUGUGAUACAUUGGAUGGGUUAGUAGUUGGGUGACAUAUUACUCCUUGUAUCCGUGUACCAGAUUGCAUGACCAGAAAUUUUGGGAAUUCUUAGAUGGGAAUUCGAGUAGUUACUUAUAGGACAAUCUUCCAACAAAUGCAUGAUGUUAGGUUGGGGCUCGACAUCUAGUGGAUUCGUUUGUUCACGCUCAUCUUACAAUGGUUCUUGUUGUGUCUUAAAGAGUCCUUGUAGCUUGCUACGACUCGGGGACGCUUCAUAUGUCGUGUGCAGUGCCUUGCACAUGACAGCUACUGUAAGGAUCGAGCCCGUGCGAUCCUGUCCACGAAAAUAUCGAACGGAAAUCUUUCUCAUGAGUUUGUUCUGGCUAAUUGCAAGCCGCAUCCUUUGUGUUGUUGAAUAUGGUAAUUCGAGUUGCUUCGAUGUCAAAUGGUGAUUUCAUAUCUUUCCAAGAGCGGUUCUCAUAUUUCUAUGGGAAUGCUAAUUAAUUCUUUUGCUCAAUCAAAGUGUGUUUUCAAUUCUUGUCAACCAGAGUCGUCAUAUGAAUUCUUUUCCAACCGGUGUGCUUCUCUCCAAGUGAAUUCAAUCCUGUCCAAUUUUGCAAGAUCAUUCUCUCAUUUUAGUCCGGAGUUCAUCUCAUCUGUCCCAAGUUCUCUUUGUUUUCCUGCCCUUCCACCCUUUUCUUCAGUGAUUAGUUUGUUAUCCUAGUGACUUCCUUUUCAUUGUUGCUUCCGCUAUCUUCUCUUCCGUGCCCUAUCCGGUGAUUCUUUCUGAAGAUUCUCAGGAGCUCCGUGUUCAUCUUUAUUCAUUCUUGUCAUCUUUUUCUGGUGAAUUCAAUUUGGUUGUCCGUGUCAUCUUACCCUAUUCAUCCUUGUAAUUCUUUCGUAUGUUGAAGUUUCUUAUCAACCUAUCUUGUUUAUUCACUUAUCUCUAUUCUAUCCGGAGCGUUGAAGUUAUAUCAGAAGUUCUUGUUUUCAAUUCUUUCAAUUAUUUCGAGGUGCUAACUGAUACGUCUCCAUCGUAUCUACUUUCCCAAACUCUUUUCCCCUUGUUUUGGACUCUAAUUUGCAUGAUUUGAAUGGAACUAACCUGGACUGACACUCUUUUCAGCAGAAUUGCCUUGGUGUUAUUUUUGUGUAGAAAUCAAAGUUCUCCAAACGUCCUGAAAAUUUACGGAGAGCAGUUUUGGAAAAUAAGAAAAAUAUCUGCGCCAAGUUCCACCUAAGGGGGUGGGCUAGUGGGCUACAAGCCCUGGCUCCGCCACCACCCCCUGGUGGCGGUGGACAGGCUUGUGGGACCCACACGGCUCUGCCGCCCCCAAUUCCAGCUCUAUAAGAUCCCUUUCGUCCCAGAAAAAAUAAAAAGAGAAGUUUUCGCUGCGUUUACGAUACGGAGGCGCCGCCACCACCUGUUCUUCAUCUAGUGGGCAGAUCUGGAGUCCGUCUUGGGCUCCGGAGAGGGGAAAUCGUCGCCAUCGUCAUCAUCAACCUUCUUCCCUUUCCAAUUCCAUGAAGCUCUUCGUCGUUCAUGAGUAAUCUAUUCGUAGGCUCGCUAGGCGGUGAUGAGUAGGAUGAGAUCUAUCAUGUAAUCGAGUUAGUUUUGAUGGGGAUUGAUCCCUAGUAUCCAGUAUGUUUUGAGAUUGAUGUUGCUACUACUUUGCCAUGCAUAAUGCUUGUCACUAGGGCCUGAGUGCCAUGAUUUCAGAUAUGAAAUUAUUAUGUUGUCACCAAUAUAUGUGUGUUUUAGAUCCGAUUUUGCAAGUUGUAGUUACCUACUAUGUGUUAUGAUCCGGUAACCUCGGAGUGACAAUAACCGGAACCACUCCCGAUGAUGACCAUAGUUUGAGGAGUUCAUGUGUUCACCAAGUGCUAAUGCGUUGGUACGGUUCUUUAUUAAAAGGAGAACCUUAAUAUCCCGUAGUUUCCUUUUGGACUCCGCUGCCACGGGAGGGAUGGACAAUAGAUGUCAUGCAAGUUCUUUUCCCUAAGCACGUAUGACGACACACGAAAUGCAUGCCUACAUCACAUUGACGAACGGGAGCUAGCCACAUAUCUCUCUGUGUUAUAACUGUUGCUUGAUGAAUAUCAUCCAAACAAAUCACCGACCCAUUGCCUACAAGUUUGUCCUACUGCUGCUGUUACUUGUCUUGCUCUGCUGCUGUUACUUGUCUUGCUCUGCUGCUACUGUUGCUACUACUGUUGCUUGCUACUGUUGCUACUUGCUACUGCUGUCACUACUGUUGUUCCUUGGCGCUUCUAUUACUCGUUACACUGUUGCUACCUACUACAAUCUUGACUCGCUCGACGUUGAUGGGAAAAGACAAUUUCCGUCAACGGGCAACUUGGCGCCAUUGAUACAAUCGUUAGGAAUAGUCUGCCGUCAANNNNNNNNNNGAUCAUUUCUGACACCGUUGUUAUCAUACUACUUUGCUGCUGACUUUUUGCUUGCAGAUACUAAUAUUUCAGGUGUGGUUGAAUCUGACAUAUUCAGCUGCUAAUACUCGAGAGUAUUCUCUCACCUCCUGUUUGGCGAUCAACAAAUUUGGGUCGAAUAUUCUACCCUCGAAAACUGCUGCGAUCCCUCGCGCUGGUGGGCCGUCAACAACAUUCUUCGAGUUUCGAUUGCCGGAGAGUGCUAGCAGCAUUCUUCUGGUGCCGUUGCAGGGGAGGGUCUGCUGUCACGGAAUCAUUUAGGUAAAGAAACAAUUACGUUAGUUUAACGAGUGUGGAAAAGUGGUGGUAGGAGUUGCGGAAUUGUCCCUAAGCAAUUGACUAUGUUACUAGACCGAUAGCAAGUUUUAUGUGGAAGAGGCCACUGCUAGCAUGUCAUCCCUUACUUGGAAUUCUAUGCACUUAUGAUUGGAACUAUUAGCAAGCAUCCACAACUACUAACGUUCGUUAAGGUAAAACCCAACCAUAGCAAUAAUAUAUAUUGGUCCCCCUUCAAUCCCGUAUGCAUCAAUUUCUAUGCUAGGCUGAAUCUUGUGUCAUCCUUGCCCUCCAAUACAUAGUCCUAUCAACAUAGUACUAACCCUAUGGUGUGAUCCACGCGCACGCUCAUAUGAUGGACACCAAAGGACAACAACAUAACCACAAGCAAAUUAAACCAAUCAUAGCAAUUNNNNNNNNNNNNNNNNNNNNNNNNNNNNNNNNNNNNNNNNNNNNNNNNNNNNNNNNNNNNNNNNNNNNNNNNNNNNNNNNNNNNNNNNNNNNNNNNNNNNUAGACGUAGCAUGUUGAUCGUGUCAUUUUGUUGCUACUGUUUUCUGCGUGUCAAGUAUUUGUUCCUAUGACCAUGAGAUCAUAUAACUCACGGACACCGGAGGAAUGCUUUAUGUGUAUCAAACGUCGCAACGUAACUGGGUGACUAUAAAGAUGCUCUACAGGUAUCUCUGAAGGUGUUAGUUGAGUUAGUAUGGAUCGAGACUGGGAUUUGUCACUCCGUGUGACGGAGAGGUAUCUCGGGGCCCAGUCAGUAAUACAACAUCACACACAAGCCUUGCAAGCAAUGUGACUUAGUGUAAGUUGCGGGAUCUUGUAUUACGGAACGAGUAAAGAUACUUGCCGGUAAACGAGAUUGAAAUAGGUAUGCGGAUACUGACGAUCGAAUCUCGGGCAAGUAACAUACCGAAGGACAAAGGGAAUGACAUACAGGAUUAUAUGAAUCCUUGGCACUGAGGUUCAAACGAUAAGAUCUUCGUAGAAUAUGUGGGAUACACCAUGGGUAUCUAGACCCCGCUGAUGGUUAUUGGCCGGNNNNNNNNNNNNNNNNNNNNNNNNNNNNNNNNNNNNNNNNNNNNNNNNNNNNNNNNNNNNNNNNNNNNNNNNNNNNNNNNNNNNNNNNNNNNNNNNNNNNUUUGCGUGUUCUUUAUUAUCUUGCAAACCUAUCCUAUCACACCUACAAAGUACUUCUAGUUUCAUACUUGUUCUAGGUAAAGCGAACGUAAAGUGUCCGUAGAGUUGUAUCGGUGGUCGAUAGAACUUGAGGGGAUAUUUGUCCUACCUUUAGCUCCUCAUUGGGUUCGACACUCUUACUUAUCGAGAAAGGCUACAAUUGAUCCUCUAUACUUGUGGGUUAUCAAGACCUUUUUCUGGCGCCGUUGCCGGGGAGCAGUAGCGUGGGGUGAAUAUUCUCGUGUGUGCUUGUUUGCUUUAUCACUAAGUAGAUUUAUUUGUUGUUCUAUGUUGUUCUCUAUCUUUAGUUAUGGAUAUGGAACACGAAAUACCAAAAAAAUAGGUGUACUUGUUAUUUUUGGAGAUGGGGAACCUCCUAAAACCCUCGAUGCUCGUUAUGUGGAAAAUAUUAUGCACUUCUUUAAUAAUCCUGAAAAAACCCCAUUCAGUUAUAUAAUGGGAGACACGUUGGAUCAACGUGAAUACUUUAGGGAUUAUCGCUUGACUCAAAAAUGGUAACUAUUAUGGGAUCAUAUUCAUAUGUUGAAAUGGUAUGCUUGGGAUCUAGGCUUGAGAUAUGAUAUUACUUGUUGCUCUAGGAUGAAGGCUAAACACCUUCCCUUUUCUUGUAAAUUUAAUGCUAAUGAAACCUUCGCUUCUUAUGCUAAUGGUAUAUAUGAUUACUAUGAUGUGGAACAAAUAGAAGAGUUUGUUGCUUUUAUGGGUGCUUAUGAAAUUGAAGCUCUGUUUAAAAAGUGUGCUGAUAAUGAUGAUGUUGUUUACCGAUCUGAAAAUUUGGUUAUGCUUCGUUAUUGUUAUACUAAUUAUGAAUAUAAUUCCCAUAUUUCUUGAUUUAUGGAUAAAUUCUCCGCUGCCCAAGAAGAGACUGAUAUUUUGCAGGAAACUAUGGAAGAAGAAAAUGCUGAAACUGUGAGCUCAUUAGAUGAAAAAGAUGACGAGUGUUAGAGCAUAUAUCUCCAUAUGUGGUUUUGGUAAUUAAUGACAAUUNNNNNNNNNNNNNNNNNNNNNNNNNNNNNNNNNNNNNNNNNNNNNNNNNNNNNNNNNNNNNNNNNNNNNNNNNNNNNNNNNNNNNNNNNNNNNNNNNNNNAGAGCUCGUAUGCGAAAGUUAUGGCUGUUUCUGUGGCGAGCGGUAGUACCGCUGGACCUAGCGGUAGUACCGCUAGAGUUGGCGGUAGUACCGCUGGCCCUAGAGGUAGUACCGCUAGAGCUGGCGGUAGUACCGCUGUCCAAGCGGUAGUACCGCCCCUGGCCAGCGGUAGUACCACUCCAAGUUUUUAGUACCGUCAUCUUUGCCGUUGUACUGCGUCGGACAUUUUUGUGAAGACUUUCUUGGCGGUGGUAGUGCCUUUGCACUACCAGGGGCCCAGCGGUAGUACCGCUGCAACCAGCGGUAGUACCGCUAGCCGGCGGUAUUACCGCCCUUGGUCAGCGGUAGUACCGCUGGAAUGUCAGCGGUAGUACCGCUGGAGCCAGCGGUAGUAUCGCUGGGCUCGGGCUGUAAGUGGGGGUAACGGUCUGAUUCCUUCCCCCACUAUAUAAAGGGGGUCUUGUUCCCCCUUGGUCUUAUCUAUCCGUUGAGCUCUUGUUCUACCUCCAUUGUUGACAUUCUUAGAGCUUGCUUACUCUCAAUCCCUCCAAUGAUUCUUGCUUGUUCUUGAGGGAAAAGAGAGAGGAGAUCUAGAUCUACAUCUCCACCAAUCACUUUCUCCUUCAUGUGAGGGGAACCCCUUGGAUCUAGAUCUUGGAGUUCUUUGUGAGCUCCUUGUUCUUCCUCUCAUAUUUCUCNNNNNNNNNNNNNNNNNNNNNNNNNNNNNNNNNNNNNNNNNNNNNNNNNNNNNNNNNNNNNNNNNNNNNNNNNNNNNNNNNNNNNNNNNNNNNNNNNNNNCGACCUUGGAGUGGUUCCAAGCGCGUCGGGUCCAAUGACGCUCUUCUGUGAUAACACUGGGGCCAUUGCCAUAGCCAAGGAUCCCAGGUUUCACCGGAAGACGAAGCACAUCAAACGCCCCUACAACUCCAUCCAGGACCAUGUCCAGAGUGGAGUAAUAGAGAUUUGUAAAGUACACACGGAUCUGAAUGUUGCAGACCCGUUGACUAAACCUCUUCCACGAGCAAAACAUGAUAAACACCAUAAUGCUAUGCGUUUUCGAUACAUCACAAUGUAACUAGAUUAUUGACUCUAGUGCAAGUGGGAGACUAUUGGAAAUAUGCCCUAGAGGCAAUAAUAAAAUGGUUAUUAUCAUAUUUCCUUGUUCAUGAUAAUUGUCCAUUGUUCAUGCUAUAAUUGUAUUGACAGGAAACAGUAAUACAUGUGUGAAUAAAUAGAUCACAAUGUGUCCCUAGCAAGCCUCUAGUUGGCUAGCUCGUUAGUCAAUAGAUGAUCAUGGUUUCCUGGUAAUGGGCAUUAGAUGUCAUUGAUAACGGGAUCACAUCAUUGGGGGAAUGAUGUGAUGGACAAGACCCAAUCAUAAGCAUAUCACUAGAUCGUAUUGUUCGUAUGCUAAAGCUUUUCUAAUGUCAAGUGUNNNNNNNNNNUCGGAUACCGUAGGAGUGCUUUGGGUGUAUCAAACGUCACAACGUAACUCGGUGACUAUAAAGGUGCACUACGGGUACCUCUGAAAGUGUCUGUUGGGUUGGUAUGAAUCGAGAUCGGGAUUUGUCACUCCGCGUGACGGAGAGGUAUCUCUGGGCCCANNNNNNNNNNCAUGGGCAUUAGAUGUCAUUGAUAAGGGGAUCACAUCAUUGGGAGAAUGAUGUGAUGGACAAGACCCAAUCCUAAGCAUAGCACUAGAUCGUAUUGUUCGUAUGCUAAAGCUUUUCUAAUGUCAAGUGUCUUUUCCUUCGACCGUGAGAUUGUGCAACUCCCGGAUACUGUAGGAGUGCUUUGGGUGUAUCAAAUGUCACAACGUAACUCGGUGACAAUAAAGGUGCACUACGGGUACCUCUGAAAGUGUCUGUUGGGUUGGUAUNNNNNNNNNNNNNNNNNNNNNNNNNNNNNNNNNNNNNNNNNNNNNNNNNNNNNNNNNNNNNNNNNNNNNNNGAUGACGUGCUACGGAAUGAGUAAAGAGACUUACCGGUAACGAGAUUGAACAAGGUAUAGGUAUACCGACGAUCGAAUCUNNNNNNNNNNNNNNNNNNNNNNNNNNNNNNNNNNNNNNNNNNNNNNNNNNNNNNNNNNNNNNNNNNNNNNNNNNNNNNNNNNNNNNNNNNNNNNNNNNNNNNNNNNNNNNNNNNNNNNNNNNNNNNNNNNNNNNNNNNNNNNNNNNNNNNNNNNNNNNNNNNNNNNNGUUCAUCUGAUGAGAUCAUCAUGGAACAAGUGGGAUACACCAUGGGUAUCUAGACCCCGCUGAUGGUUAUUGGCCGGAGAGGUGUCUCGGUCAUGUCUACGUGUCUCCAGAACCCGUAAGGUCUACACACUUAAGGUUUGAUGACGCUAGGGUUAUAGGGAAUUGUUAUACGAGGUUACCGAAAGUUCUUCGGAGUCCCAAAUGAGAUCCCGGACGUCACGAGGAGCUUCGAAAUGGUCCGGAGGUAAAGAUUGAUAUAUAAGAUGGAUGGUUUAGGACACCGGAAAUGUUUCGGGCGUCACCGGUAAUGUACCGGGACCACCGAACCACCGGUAAUGGUCCCCGGGAUCUACCCGGAGGGGCCACAAGCCCCAAGAGGUGGCAUGGGCCAAAAGAGGGAGGGCAACCAGCCCAGGGAAACCCUAGGCGCUGGUGCCUAGGGGUGCGCCACCCCCUCCCCCUGCCCUGGCCACCUGUAACGCCCCGGACACACCCGCCGGCGGUCGUUACUCCUGGCAAGAUNNNNNNNNNNNNNNNNNNNNNNNNNNNNNNNNNNNNNNNNNNNNNNNNNNNNNNNNNNNNNNNNNNNNNNNNNNNNNNNNNNNNNNNNNNNNNNNNNNNNGUGUCCGGGGCGUUACAAGUUGGUAUCAGAGCCGACCCUCGCGGUUACACGGAUGUUUGCGGACAGGUGUGCGAUCAUGUUGUUCAUGACGUUUGUGACCCGUUGUGGAACACGGCAUGGUACAUGUACUGGACUGGAUGCACAGAUGUUUGUGGCAAGAGGGAACGCUCCUGUGGCCCGACGAGGACGUCGGUUCCUCUGAGUGGUGGUGUAUGUGAUAGCCUGGCUUAUUAGGGAUGAUAGACUACUCAUAUCAAUAAGGAAUUCCUUCUUUUNNNNNNNNNNNNNNNNNNNNNNNNNNNNNNNNNNNNNNNNNNNNNNNNNNNNNNNNNNNNNNNNNNNNNNNNNNNNNNNNNNNNNNNNNNNNNNNNNNNNNNNNNNNNNNNNNNNNNNNNNNNNNNNNNNNNNNNNNNNNNNNNNNNNNNNNNNNNNNNNNNNNNNNNNNNNNNNNNNNNNNNNNNNNNNNNNNNNNNNNNNNNNNNNNNNNNNNNNNNNNNNNNNNNNNNNNNNNNNNNNNNNNNNNNNNNNNNNNNNNNNNNNNNNNNNNNNNNNNNNNNNNNNNNNNNNNNNNNNNNNGUGUCCGGGGCGUUACAGGUGGCCAGGGCAGGGGGAGGGGGUGGCGCACCCCUAGGCACCAGCGCCUAGGGUUUCCCUGGGCUGGUUGCCCUCCCUCUUUUGGCCCAUGCCACCUCUUGGGGCUUGUGGCCCCUCCGGGUAGAUCCCGGGGACCAUUACCGGUGGUUCGGUGGUCCCGGUACAUUACCGGUGACGCCCGAAACAUUUCCGGUGUCCUAAACCAUCCAUCUUAUAUAUCAAUCUUUACCUCCGGACCAUUUCGAAGCUCCUCGUGACGUCCGGGAUCUCAUUUGGGACUCCGAAGAACUUUCGGUAACCUCGUAUAACAAUUCCCUAUAACCCUAGCGUCAUCAAACCUUAAGUGUGUAGACCUUACGGGUUCUGGAGACACGUAGACAUGACCGAGACACCUCUCCGGCCAAUAACCAUCAGCGGGGUCUAGAUACCCAUGGUGUAUCCCACUUGUUCCAUGAUGAUCUCAUCAGAUGAACCACGAUGUCAAGGAUUCAAUCAAUCCCGUAUACAAUUCCCUUUGUCUGUCGGUAUAGAACUUGCCCGAGAUUCGAUCGUCGGUAUACCUAUACCUUGUUCAAUCUCGUUACCGGUAAGUCUCUUUACUCAUUCCGUAGCACGUCAUCGUGUGACUAACUCCUUAGUCACAUUGAGCUCAUGAUGAUGUUCUACCGAGUGGGCCCAGAGAUACCUCUCCGUCACGCGGAGUGACAAAUCCCGAUCUCGAUUCAUACCAACCCAACAGACACUUUCAGAGGUACCCGUAGUGCACCUUUAUUGUCACCGAGUUACGUUGUGACAUUUGAUACACCCAAAGCACUCCUACAGUAUCCGGGAGUUGCACAAUCUCACGGUCGAAGGAAAAGACACUUGACAUUAGAAAAGCUUUAGCAUACGAACAAUACGAUCUAGUGCUAUGCUUAGGAUUGGGUCUUGUCCAUCACAUCAUUCUCCCAAUGAUGUGAUCCCCUUAUCAAUGACAUCUAAUGCCCAUGACCAGGAAACCAUGAUCAUCUAUUGACUAACGAGCUAGCCAACUAGAGGCUUGCUAGGGACACAUUGUGAUCUAUUUAUUCACACAUGUAUUACUGUUUCCUGUCAAUACAAUUAUAGCAUGAACAAUGGACAAUUAUCAUGAACAAGGAAAUAUGAUAAUAACCAUUUUAUUAUUGCCUCUNNNNNNNNNNNNNNNNNNNNNNNNNNNNNNNNNNNNNNNNNNNNNNNNNNNNNNNNNNNNNNNNNNNNNNNNNNNNNNNNNNNNNNNNNNNNNNNNNNNNACCUAUACCUUGUUCAAUCUCGUUACCGGUCAGUCUCUUUACUCGUUCCGUAGCACGUCAUUGUGUGACUAACUCCUUAGUCACAUUGAGCUCAUGAUGAUGUUCUACCGAAUGGGCCCAGAGAUACCUNNNNNNNNNNNNNNNNNNNNNNNNNNNNNNNNNNNNNNNNNNNNNNNNNNNNNNNNNNNNNNNNNNNNNNNNNNNNNNNNNNNNNNNNNNNNNNNNNNNNNNNNNNNNNNNNNNNNNNNNNNNNNNNNNNNNNNNNNNNNNNNNNNNNNNNNNNNNNNNNNNNNNNNNNNNNNNNNNNNNNNNNNNNNNNNNNNNNNNNNNNNNNNNNNNNNNNNNNNNNNNNCCGUAGUGCACCUUUAUAGUCACCGAGUUACGUUGUGACGUUUGAUACACCCAAAGCACUCCUACGGUAUCCGAGAGUUGCACAAUCUCACGGUCGAAGGAAAAGACACUUGACAUUAGAAAAGCUUUAGCAUACGAACAAUACGAUCUAGUGAUAUGCUUAUGAUUGGGUCUUGUCCAUCACAUCAUUCCCCCAAUGAUGUGAUCCCGUUAUCAAUGACAUCUAAUGCCCAUUACCAGGAAACCAUGAUCAUCUAUUGACUAACGAGCUAGCCAACUAGAGGCUUGCUAGGGACACAUUGUGAUCUAUUUAUUCACACAUGUAUUACUGUUUCCUGUCAAUACAAUUAUAGCAUGAACAAUAGACGAUUAUCAUGAACAAGGAAAUAUGAUAAUAACCAUUUUAUUAUUGCCUCUAGGGCAUAUUUCCAACGAUAUUGAUGGUGGAUUCGAUUACAAGGAGGGCGUAACUCGCCUGACCUAGCUCUCGAUGGAUUCUAACUUAGCCUAUCUGCCCUAGAGACUCGCCUUUAUAUACAGGUCGAGGCCCUAGGGGUUACAAAGUCCUAGCCACGUUACAAAUCGUGGCUUUCCAUAUCUCUAAGUUGUCAUGUUUUCCAAGCUAGGAAACCUCCUUGGCGACUGAUAUUCUCCAUCAAUCUUGAACCGCCAUCUAGCUCAGGGCCCUGGCGUCCCUUUAUCAAAGAUCUCCCAGCGCACCUCAGGCCCUGGGCCAAGGCUUACGAUGACCAUGUAUGUAUGAGUCGCCACUUUCCUGACCCGGCCCAACAGGGCGGGUCAUAACGCAACACCUGGCCACUAGUGAAGACUAUCCUGAAUAAUGGGCAAACAACAGGCUAAACUGUAGAAAACUGCAAAAGAGGUCGUGAGGAGAUCAAUGUGGAGACUGUUGCUACAGUUGCGGUUGCCUCCUCCUCUGCUGCUGAGGUCUCUGGCACUGCAAAUACUCUGAAGCGAGCUUUGGUGAAGAAAUCAGAUAUCAAGCCAAAGUCUUCAGCUUCACAUUCCUCAUAGCAAUAUCCUCAAUUAGCUCCAAAUGUGGCUCAAAGUCCUCAGUGACUACCACAAAGUCCUCACUGCCAAUGCAACUGGAGACAAGCCAGCGUCCAACUGGGACUCCAAUUCCCUCAGGACCGUCUGCUUCUGGCUCUGCACACACUUCUUCUAGAGCAAACAUGAAGAAAAAGAUGGUCGUUGGGCGAGGAAAAAGACGUAUCCCUAACAAGGUGGUCCUCAAUGUUCCCUCAGGAUCUGAGGAAGAAGAAGAGGCUGAUGAUGAAGUACUUGAUGCAAUCAUCAGAAAUAAACAAGAGAGGGUUGCAUAGGCAAAAGGCACCAACAUUCCCCUCAUGUUGGAUCCAAAGGUGGUGUUAGACUUCAUUGACGUGUGGUAUCAAAAUCCUCAAACCCCUAUUGAUGAUUUGAAGCUUCCACCUGGACCAAGUUAUGUAUGUGCUGGCGGCCUUCAUCAAUGAAGAAAAAUGGAAGAUUGAAAAGCCCAAAAGGGCCAAAAAAGCAUAGACAAAGAAAAAAUUCUGAAGAACAACAAUCUAUCACUGACCCUGAACAGCUCAUGUCCACACAAACAGAGAUCAAUAACCUCAGUGAAGAAUUCAAUCGCUAUCAUGCUGACUGGGAGGGUGCAACGGUCAGAUUCAUCAACAUAGCCACCAAAUCCGUCACUAACCACAACAACAGGGUUGUAGUUCAAACGCAGCCACAAAUUCCUCAGGCCAGCUCCUCUGCUCAACCGCGUGAAGAAAAUGCCAGGUUUGAAGAAAUACAAGCGCCUUAUGAAUCUGCACCUCAAGAACCUGCCAGGCCAGCUGAAGAACAUGUUGCGUCUGAAGAAACUACUACUGCAAGGACGACUUCAUCAGCCUGACUGAAGAAUCUGCCACAACACCAAAGUCUUCAAAAGUGAAGAAAAUGGCACUUUCUUAUGCAUCAGAAAUGAAGAAAACCAAGGCUGUUGAAAAGGAAGCAACUAAGAAAAGAAAGGCAUCAACAAGCUCAGAGUCCUCAGAAGCCAAAUGCUUGAGGACUUUGAAAAGUUCCUCGACUACACCUAUUGACGCCACUCCUAUCAACACGGUACCCUCUUACGAGGUGAUGUCAUUUUGUGUCACACAUAUCAUCCCAGAAGGGGAUGAAGAAAUGGAAGAUAGUCGAUCUACUGCUUCCACAGAGCAGCUUGAUGAAUAAAUUGAAGUGGGCAUGAAUCCUUCAAUUCCUCGAGAUUCAUCUCCUCCUCCUCAACACAGAACACAAGCAGGCGAUGAAGGAAAAUAUGAAGAUGUGGAUUUUGGAUGCCAAACACCUGUUAUGAAUGACGGAUACUGGGAAGAAGCUCGUCCCAACUCACCACUCGCAACUCCACUUCCACAAAAUCCUGAGUCCCCUACAGUCACUGAAGAAAUUCAUACUGGGUUUGAUGACAAACUCACUACGAUGAAGUCUAUCCCGGAGAAUGAAUCAGUUGCAUCAGUUGAAGAAACCGUGAAUUAAACCGCCACUCAGGAUACUCUGCCACGGAAAUUGAUGAAUAUGCAAAGCAUAUACCUCACACUGAAGAAAAUGUGGCUAAAGAAACUGCUCCUCCUCAAGGUGAGGACACUUCUGAUGAACCUCAUGUUCAAAAUCCUCAGUCUAUAGUGGUCGUGGCUCAAAUUCCUCUGACUGAAGACAUCUGCCGACUUGUGGGCCAAUUCAAGCCAAAUCUUCAACCCAAGACUCUUUAGCCUUACACUGGUUCAAAAAGGCCAAAAUUCGAGAAGGAGAGAUUCUGUCAUGAACAUCAUUAUUUCAUCGGUGCAAAUCCUUAUGACUCCCCAAGGAUGAGGCGCAAGAGAUUCUGGACUGGUGCACACGUGAACUACUAUGGUGAUGUGCUCUUUCACAAGAACAAGAUUUUUCAGCAUCACCAAAUUCCUCAUGCACACAUGGAACUCAUUCCCUGCUUUUUAGCAUCAGCAUUCUGUUUGAUGCUGGUCUACUGCCAUUCUGCAUGGACAUGUGUGACUAGAAUGGAGAACUCAUUCUUUAAUUCACUAGUUUGCAUCUCUCGGGUGAAGCAUCAGAUGUAAACACUUGGGUUCUGGACUGGAUGAUUGAAGACACUCACUAAAUAACUCCUUCCAUGAAGUUACUUCGUGCGGUCCCAGUUCCAAUUCCCUCAGAAGGAGCCAGAUGAAUCUAUGAUGAAGCUGAGCUGCCCGAUCACCUGAUGCAAGUGCUGAUAAAGGCUUUGGCUCCUGGCAAGCCACCAAGUACCACAUUCCUUGUCAAAGAACUGCUCUAUGUGCCACUACAGUAUAUGACCAAAACCCUGAGUCCUAUCAAGGGCCACAACUCUGAAGAAGAAGAUGUUGUAGGAAUCAUGAAGAAUUUGCUCUUUAACAUUAUUAAUGGGAUUCCAAAAAAUCUUCACGGUUUCUUCAUGAGGACUUUGGACAAUUAUGCUAUGUCACCAUUUGAGCUGAAGCCUUAUGCACCAUGGAUUACGAAAUUCAUCAAGGACACAUCAUCAAUUCCUUACAAUGCUGACUUUCAGAAUCACUUCAGCUAUUUUCCCCCACUUGAAGUCGACAAGAAAUCCUUCAAGAUGAUUGAAGGCAAGGGCAAAAUAGUGAUUGAUGAGGGGUCUCAUCCCCUUGAUGGAAAAUUUCGCAAGUCUGCAUCCUACUCCACAAAUGAUGACACUACAUCACAAGACUCGGUUGCAAAAGCCUCAACUAAAGCUCCUCACGAGUCUGCCCCGCGCGUGAUGACUGACCAAGAGCUUCUGCUUAGUCUUCAUCAAAAGUUUGAUCGCAAUCACAAGUGGGUAAGGCGUCAGUUUAGUGCCAUUGUGUGUGAUAUAAAUGUGAUGGAAAAUGUAGUGAAGAAAAACCACUAUUAUCUCCAUCAAACUUCGACCGCACAUGGGCCAUUCUGUCUCACCUCAAGACUCCUGGGGAACUCACUGAAAUGGAAUUUUAGCAUGAUUUUGAUUGGUCCUGGAUGCCCAAGAAGAAAUUCAAGAAAGUUCCAGUUCCUCACUUGGUGGCUAGUUUAUAUUCUUCAUCGUGCACAGCUGAUGUAGGUGAGGAUCUUGAUGACACUGUUGCCGGUCCAAUUACAAUGAACGACCCCGACAACACUAGUGUUCCUCCUCUAUCAACAAGUUGAUAUUCUUCACGGGAAUUAGUCCUUGGUUUCAUCCCUUUUCGUCACUUGAUGACAAAGGAGGUAAAUCUGAGUUAGUCUUCAAGAGGGUCUACUUUAUUAGCUUAUGAACUAUGUUUUUUAAGUUGCAACUCUCGUUUUUGUGAAGUGUUUUGUUGUAUGAGUUGUAAACUUAUGCUUGGUGGUGGUCUAACACUUUUGAACCAUUGUUUUUCUUCGCAUGCUUAUUCCUCACGUUGAUUAAUGCACGCAUGCUAAAAUUCGUCAGACACCACUUUCCAUCAUGCAUUUCAGUUUCCUCAUGAUGUAUGUUAAAGCCUGCAUGGAUUACAAGAUAUAGGGGGAGAUCUUCAUGGUAUAAACCUACAAUAUGCAUUUGCAGUCCAAAGCAAAUUCCUCAAAUAUGCACACCUUCAGGGGGGGCUUCUCUAUAUCUUGCUAUCAAAUUCCACAAACACUAUACUUACACGUCAUAUAUUAUCCCCAUUGAAAACUUAACCUAUUUGUCAUCAAUCACUAAAAAGGGGGAUAUUGUAAGUGCAUCUAGUGCCCCUUAGUGAUUUUAGUGUAUUGAAGACUUAUGGGUUAAGAGAAUGAUGAUUUUGUGAGUGUACACAAGCUCUAUAAGUCGCUGAGGAGUUUGAGUUAUUCGAAGAAUAUCGACCCCUAAAAAUGGAUGUCUUCAACUAAAUACUUUGGUAAUUCCUUGAAGACUUUGAAAGCAUGGAAAUUGGUGUGUCCAUGAAGAAAUUGAUGUGAAGAAUUUGAAGCGUGAAGACUUUUGUAUUCGUAGUUUCAUUUCCUUUCUUUUGAGUCAUAGGACCACCAUACUAUUAAAGGGGGUCAAGGUAAAACAAGGAAAAGUUUGCAAGUGAUGCUCAUAUCAAAGCCUACACAUACCCAAUCCUUCGAGUGAAGCCUUUGGAAAUCUUUUACAGUUUAGUCUAAUUAUUCAGUGACACACACGAAGAUCUUCUGGUCUCUAAGGAAUUUGCUCUAACUCAUGAGUUAGGUUUUCGCCAAUGCAAUUACCUACAAGUGAGGAACAUGAGAGACAUGAGGACUCUCAGAGUUGAAAGAUUCCGACGUUGUUGCGCCGCGCGCCAGCUGUCCCUAACCUUAUCCACAUAACUGUCAUAUCAUUGGGGCAUUUAUGUCAAGUCAUGUCAGGAUUGCUCCCAGGCUAUAAAUAGCCACCCCCAUAACCACUAGCUGGUUGGCUGCUCCGCGAGAAAAAAUGACACUUCUCAUUUGAAAGCAACCCAUUCCUCGAAGGCUUUGAGGGGAAAUCAUCAGUGAGGAAAAAAACCCAAACACCCAAACCAAAACCCAAAACCCCCAAAGUGAUUGAGCAUCACUGAAGAGAUUGUUCUUGUGUGGAACAGAUGCUUGUUAUCUUUGAGGAAUGUGCAUCCUCCAUACGGUUAGGCGUCAUCGUCUAGAGCAUCCAACAGUCAAUUAUGGAUCGCCGGGUGACCGAGUUUGUGAGGGUUUGGAAGUCUGCCCUGAAGACUUACCACGAGUGUUGGGCGAGGACUGUGUGUCCUUAGCUCAAGGAGAAUAUGGUAAGGAUUGUUUGUCUUGGGACUGUGUGUCCUUUGGUUUAAACACCAAGCCGCUCCAAACCAGACGUAUGAUUGUCACAGCAGUUGGAACUGGGUUAUCAAAUCACUGUCUUCACCAAGUACCUGGUUCUAUUUCAUAAACCCUUUCAUUUUCUCAUUUAUGUGUUGAUGAAAUUGAUCGUUGCUAUUUAAAGAACUUUACUGAUGACUUCCACAAUUUCCUCACCCCAAAUUCUUCACUUCACUUGUUCUUCAUGUGCAUAUCCUAAACACGCUACUUGUGCAAAAAUGUCUAUUUCAUUUCAUCAUGAAGACUAUGUUAUUGCAGUGUUGAAUGCUCGCAUGAGUACUUAAUCCACUGCUCGUCGUCCGUGAGUGAGGAAUUUCAUCACAAGGAAUUUCCUUAGUGAUGAAUUCAUAAAAAUCGCCUAUUCNNNNNNNNNNNNNNNNNNNNNNNNNNNNNNNNNNNNNNNNNNNNNNNNNNNNNNNNNNNNNNNNNNNNNNNNNNNNNNNNNNNNNNNNNNNNNNNNNNNNNNNNNNNNNNNNNNNNNNNNNNNNNNNNNNNNNNNNNNNNNNNNNNNCCCCCCCCCCUCCAUUCGAUAUAACACACUUCCAUUUACACGCUACAUGUGUUGUGUGUAUGUUUCAUUUCAUCAUGAUGAAUAUGAUAUUGCUAUAUUUUACAUGCAGUUGAGUACUUAUUCCGCUGCUACUAUUUUUUCACUUAACAAAUUGCUUAAGGAGUAAUUCCUCAGAGGCGAAUUUGUAAAAAAUCGCCUAUUCACCCCCACCCCCACCCCCUAGUCGAUAUAACGCACUUUCAACUAUUCAUCCACAAAGUCCAUAAAAAUAUUACACGUCACAUUUCAAGAUAUUUCAUCCUGAAUUUUUAGACACAAAUAAAUUUCAUUCUUGUAUACUUGCAUAUUUUUCAGAUUUUUUUAAACGAAAAUGUUAGAAUUUUGAACUUUUAAAAAAUAAAGGGCUUCAUGGAGCUCGGUCACCAAAACGUCCUAAUCGUGGGAUGUGGUCCACCAAAUCUAUAACAAAAAAAUAGAUACCAACUCCCAUUUCUUCAUUGAACUAAUAGGGUUCCCCACGAAAGACAUGGAUGGGAGUUGGUCCUCCCAAUUCCCCUUCCCUUGUUAAUGCCCAACUCCCUGAACCAAUCAACAACCUAACGCAUUGUUGGUUAUGUUUUCAUGACAAGUCAUGUCACGUAGGGAUGCAAAUUUCGUACCUUUAGGGCAUCCUCCUACCCUACUUUUCUUAGUUGACCACCGAACCUACUAAAAAAUUAAACCCUACUUUUCUUAGUUGACCACCGAACCUACUAAAAAAUUAAAAUUGAUGUGAAUUCUAAUAAUUAGUUCAUUUGGUUGAACUAAAAAGGGUAGGAGGAUACCCAAAAUUUGCAUCCUUGAUGCCACAUUGUACCCUUUCGUACUAGAUUUUUCAAUUUUUGCAUGCAAGACAUGUGGGCCUCGCAUGGGUUGAUGGUAACAAAACACUACCCAAGCGAUUCCCUAGGUAAGAGCAUAUGCACCCGGACAUCCCAAACCAUCCCCAAACGACCAGGCGGACGGCUCCGUCACUAACGAGUCAUCAAAAAUCAAUUCAGACGGGUGCUUUAAAUAGGCCUCAAACAUUCGGGCUCACCCACACCCCUCAUAUUCAACCCAAAUUUAGAGUGGAAUUUUUUUGAAACAACCUCACGAAUCUUUUUAUUAAAUCGUCACAAUGUUUACAGGGACGAAAGAAAGAUCUCUUGGUUGGCCCAACCAAACUUGGCGACCACCCCUGAGAUAAAGCAUGCCUCACUAGGUUGUGAGCUUCAAAAUUGGAGCUCCUAAAUUCAUGUUUAAAUUUAUAUAAAUGAAAUUCUCAUGAGUGUCCUAUUAUUUCAUGUAUAAUAGGUCCAUAAACUGAUGAGUUCUCCUUCUUCAGGCCAUCAACCACCACUUUGCAGUCCAAAGCCACCUGAAUACACCUUUGAUAAAGAUCAUCUGAUAGUGCUGGAGCCUCUCGGAUGGCUAGUGCUAUGGGAGUCUGAGGUUCUGCAAUAUAUAUAAAAACAAGCACACAGGCUCCCAAGAAACUCCCAUCAGAACUUGUGCAGAUCGCCCCCAUCGAAUCAUACCUGGCAUGUCGCGAGACCGCGGCAUCAACAUUCACUUUUGCACACCGUGCAUCCGGGGCCUGCCAGUGGAUCAACCUGGGGAUUACACAAGUUGUUCGCCUUGAACUCUUCGUGUUGAUUAACUUGAUUUCGGCAAGAUAUCUCAUGGUAAACUUGUGGAUAGCAUCAGGUGACUCAUACAUGUCUUCAUAUAUUGCUUUUCUCCUUGCUCCCCAAAUAUCCCAAGUGGUGACAACCAGUCGUACGAACGCAUCGUUGUCCAUAUUUGCAUGUAGUGCAAAAUCCAUUCCUUGGAGCUCUCUUCUUGCCUAUCCACCAUGUGUUGUACUAGCUCCUCUGGCGCUAGGGCCCACACGCUACUAGACAUAGGACAUGUUAAUAGUGCAUGUCGCCAAGUAUCCACAGCGCCAGACAAGUGACACGUAUCUUCUGUUGCCAUGUUUUUAUGCUUCAAAAGUUCUCUUGUAGGCAUUGACUGUCUCACCAAUCUCUAGAAAAACGUCCUUAGCUUUGAUGGCACCUCAAUAUGCCAUAUGCUGCUCCACUUUUUCGCCUUAUUUUGGGUGGUAGAUGAGCCUUCUUCAUUGAGCGACGCCUCCUGAUUCUACUUUGUUUGCAAAAUCAUGCGAUAGGCAGAUCUCACACUGAAAAUUCCUCGAGUUGCUUCAUGUCAGCCCCAAAAGUCAUCAAUUUUGUGUGUGCAUAGUGGUAUCUUGAGUAUCUCCACAGCAUCAAAUGGAGUGAAAGUUGUUCUCAUCGGUUCCUCCUUCCAUGAGGCAGUAGUAGUAUCAAUUAGUCGGCCACCAUCUAUGGUGGGUCCAGAAUCAGAGAAGUAUUUGGUCUUUCAAAAUUGUCCCGCGGGAUCCAAUUAUGCCUCCAAAUGUCAGUGGUCUCACUAUCCCCAAUUUUUUGGAGAACUCCUUGUGCCAAUAUAUCGCGACCGUCUAGGAUUGCCCGCCAGAUGUGUGAUGGGUGUGACCCUAAUUCAGCAUCAAGCAAUGAUGAGUUCGGAAAAUAUAUCGCUUUCAAAAUUCUUGAGCUCAAAGAUGACUCCUCUAUAAAUAGCUUCCAGGGUUGAUGAGCAAGGAGUGCUAAGUUAAAAACCUCUAGAUCACGGAAACCUAAGCCCCCCAAAUGUUUGGGUCUGGUCAUAAUAUCCCACGCCACCCAACUGGGCUUUCUCUUGCCUUGCUUGCUUCCCCACCAAAAUUGAUGUAUGAUGGAAGUGAUAUUCUCACAAAGGCCUCUUGGCAAUCUGAAACAAGACAUGGAAUACAUCGGUAUAGCCCGUGCUACAUAUUUAAUUAACACUUCCUUCCCCAUGAAGACAGGAGCUUCUCCAUCCAUCCCUUAAUCUUUUCCCAAACUCGGUCUCGCAAAUAUCUGAAAGUACCAUUCUUUGAGUGGCAGGCUACUGUUGGCAUGCCGAGGUAUCGUUUAGUCAAUGAUUCAUUCUAGACAUGUAAGGUGUUCUUGAUCUCCACUCUUAUGUUGCAUGGGCAUCCCUUACUGAAGAAAAUUGAGGAUUUAUCAUUGUUUAUUCUUUGUCCUCAUGCACCACAAUAAGAAUCUAGUAGGUUUGACACCACAACUGAACCCUCUACACUAGCUUUGAAGAGAAAUAGUCUGUUAUCUGCAAACAAAAGGUGGUUAAUGAUGGGAGUCGUUGGAGCCACCCUAAUACCUUUGAAUAAUGACUGAGAACUGGAUUUGAGGGGGCACAAAAGGCCCUCUGCUCCAAUCAAGAAUAAGUAGGGUGGGAUGGGAUCUCCCUGUCGAAUACCUAGGAUGGGUUUGAAAGAGUCUAACUUCUCACCAUUAAACAUAACCAAAAAAGAGACCGAUGAAACCAUGCUCAUAACAAUAUCUAUCCACUGUUCCGCAAAGCCAAGCUUUGUCAUAAUAUCUCUCAAAUAAGACCUUUCUAAUAUGUCAUAUGCCUUCAUCAUGUCGAGCUUCAGAGCACAGAAACUAUUUGAUUUUGAUCUUUACUGUUUCAUAAAGUGCAAGCAUUCAUAGGCGCAUAUGAUGAUGUCAGUUAUUAGUCUCCGUGGAACAAAGGUUGACUGCUCCUCAAAAAUUAUAUCAGGCAAUAUUAUUUUCAAUCUAUUUCCCAUCACCUUUGAGGUUAUCUUGUAUAAAAUGUUGCAUAGACUUAUACGCCUGAACUGGGAUAAAACUGUAGGAUUUGUUACCUUGGGGAUCAAAACUAAAACAGUAUCAUUGAUGCAUUCCGGGCUCUCUUCUCCAUGAACUAUUCUCAGCAUACUUUUUGUGACCUCAUCUACAAAAAUGUCCUAGUGGCGCUGAUAAAAUGAGCAGGGAAACCGUCAGGUCCCGGAGCUUUUGUAGGAAACAUCUGGAAUAAGGCGAUUUUUACCUCAUUGGUAUAUGGAGCACAUAGGGAUGUGUUCAUCUCGGUUGUCACAUUUCGAGGGACAUGAUCUAGGAUGGCUUGCAUAUUUUGUACUCCCUCCGAAGAGUACAGCUCGUGAUAAAACUCAUUGGCCAUUGCCUUCAAGAUCACCGGAUCCAGAACCACCGCCCUAAUAGAAUUUUGUAGAGCUUUGAUCAUAUUUUUCUUCCUGCACAAGCUAGCUUGGAGAUGAAGAAAAUUAGUGUUCCUAUCCCCCUAAGAAAGCCACUCAACCCAUGCCCUCUGACCCCACAUUAUUUCUUCCCGGUGAUACAUCUCAAUCAAACGCUCAUUGACCUUUAACUCCGCAUGAGAAGGACUGAUUCGCAACGGGUCGCUCCUUAGUUCCUCUAGCACUUGUUUCAAUUGUUUUAUCUCCUUUCGUACGCUGCCAAACGUAUCCCUGCUCCACUUGUCUAUACCCUUGGACAUAUCACUCACUCUUUGUCUCAUCUCCUCCACGUAUGCACAUGGUGAUCCGGCGUUCCAUCCACUAGUGAUUAACUCUCGCAGUCCUUCAUGUGACUCCCACAUGAGUUCGUACUUAAACGAAAUUUUGACAUGUAACUCCUCUAAACUGCCAAAAUCAAUCAGCAAGGGUGAGCGAUCUGAGGUAAAUCCCGUUAAAUGUGUGACUGAGGCAGCUAGAAAUUUGGCCAUCCAACUCGCAUUAACCAAAGCCCUAUCCAAACGACAUCUAGUGUAGCUCCCUCUGGUGAAUUUCUUCUCAAAAGUCCAAAAAAUCCUUUAUACCCCAGGUCUAUUACCAUGCAAAUAUCAGUGGCUUCUCGAAAAGCUUGGAUUUGUGCAUUACUGCGUUCACCAAUUCUGUCGUGCUCAUCCGGACAUAGAACUUCAUUGAAAUCACCCAUACAUAACCACGGCAACGUGCUCAAUGUGCUAAUGUUUUUCAAAACGGUCCAAGUUUGGUGUCUGAGGUUUGUUUGUGCCUCAUCGUAUACGCAUGUCAGCCUCCACUUAUCCUGAUUACGCUCCUCAAUCAUGGCAUCUAGAUGAUAAACAUGUCAGCCUCCACUUAUCCUGAUUACGCUCCUCAAUCGUGGCAUCUAGAUGAUAAACAGAGUAACCAAGUAUAACGCCCCGGACACACCCGUCGGUGGUCGUUACUCCUGGCGGGAUCUAGACUGGCCCCACAUAUCAAUACUAGUCUUUUCUGUGCCGAGCACGCUUAACCUAGGAGUUUUUGUCCUCACUCAUGCGCACCCGGGAUCAAAUUCCCGGUCGGUCACCCAUCCUAGAACUACUCCAAGCCGAGCACGCUUAACCUGGGAGUUCUGUUCGAAUGGGCUUCCAGAAAAGAAGGAAUUCCUUAUUGAUAUGAGUAGUCUAUCAUCCCUAAUAAGCCAGGCUAUCACACCAAGAAUCUUAACUUUUAUUGAAUUAUUCCAAAAGAGUCCAAUGCCAGCACUUCGCCUUUGACUACUAACAACAAAUGAAUUAUCAUAACCCAAAGUACUCGAUAAUGCUUCUACCCUAGCUCCUUCUAUUUGUGUUUCAACUAUACAUAAUAGGGUAGGGACAAAUCUCCUCGCGAAAUCGUGAAGCUCUCGGACUGUGGCAGCUUUGCCCGCACCAUAACAGUUCGAGCAAAAGGCACUCAUUGGCCUUGGUAGUGCCCGUCAAUUUGGCCCGCCAGCUUUGGGUCAACUUAAGAUUGUGUGAUGUUCUUAGAUGAGUUGUUCUUCUGUGCAUCCUCAUUCAUCCUCGUUCUCUUCAAAUCCUUCUUUGCACUUGGGCUGACAGGAACGAGAGAGGCGACAGUGCGAGUAUAUCAGAACGAUCUGCAUGCACUCAACUCCCAUCACGUGAAGCUGAAUGCCCCACAUUUGGCUCUGAGGUCCUCUUUCUAUUGUUCUCUGCCUCGUGUAUCUCCAAAUCAUGAGCAUGUUCAGGCUGAUCAUAGUCUUCAUAAUCCUCCUGAUGCGAGUUGUUUUGUGCACCCAUGCCUCGUCCUCUGCUACGGCCUCCACGGCAACCACCCCGACGGCCACACCCAUUACCCGGACCUCGCCCGGUUCUCAUUACCCAUUAUGCUCUAAGGUCUUUAAAAACCAGAGCCGAAGGUGGAUGUAUUCCGCUUCCGUGUUCCUUAAACAGGUGACCCAACAUACCGUAGACAGCACACCAAUGAGGCAGCUUCUCAUACCUGAGGCAGUAUAUUUGACGCUUACCAUUACGGGUCAUGGAUACUGCAUUCUUCAGGGGUUUUCUGACGUUGAUACUGACCCAAACACGGUAAAAAUUACCAGCAAAAUCCUGCGAUUGUGGCUCGGUGACAGCACCUCCCCAACUUUUGCUGCAAGAGAAGGCAUGAGAUGAGCGUACAGAUCUGGAACAUCAUGGAUCUGAACCCAGAUUUCUAUGGUGUCAAGUGGAAUUGUAGAAGACUUUGUUACUCCACCAUACGGCUUGAUGAUCACCGCAUCCCGUGCCAUGGACCAUCCUGGAUAACCCUCUCCCAAUCUCCUAAACAGGAAAAUUGGACGGUGUAAAUAUUGUUCUCCACGGGCCUAGAUUUUACUUCCUGGGGAAGAUCCCAAGUUGCCUUCAUGUUCUUGAAGAACCAGAAUUGACUACAGAUUUUGCAUGAGUGAACCCUGGCUAGGGCAAUCCAUCGGGAUGCCUCCGGGGGCGCCUCCUUCUCGUCAAACACCACAUCGUCAAGAUCCUCUUCUCUCAGACCCAAGUCCCUCAUCAUCCUCUCCACCUUGUUAGUUUUCGCUUAACCUGCCUCAUCAGAUCCUGUUGAUCUGCUUGAUGCCAUCUUGAUCCCUGGCCCAAUAAAAAACACGAUCAAAUCUUGUUGGUGUAGCCCUAAACCCUCCACCUACUCUACUCUCACCGGGACGGGAGAUAGGGGCAGGAGAUCCUGUGUGGAGGUAGGGAAAGACAAUCUCGACGACGGCGAAAAAUUGUCCCUGAAGAAACCAAAACCCUAGCAAGAGGGAAUUUUUAAUUUAGGGUGGAUAUGUGGUCGUCUGAGUGCGUCCGCCACAUCGGCUUGCCUGUCCCACCCAGACCCCACAAAUAUCUCCAUCCGAAAAACUUUAGACAUCGAUCAAUCCGAACUCCACUUCACUCUCGUGUCGGUCCACUCCACUUAUGCCCCUCCGAUUCGAUGGCCGGCAACGAAAGCAGCGACGAUCCGGCGGAGAAUCCGACGCCACGACCAUCGAUGUGGACGAGGUCGCCCUCCGCAUCGUCCUCACGCGGUCGCUACUCGACCUAGGUGGCAGCGCCAACGACAUAUCUUCUUUCUCAGCACAUGUCGCCCGUCGACGCAACACCGGCAAUGUCGCUGGCCCGUCCGGUCGGGGGCGCAGCUCUAUCCACUCCGCUCUCGUCUUUCACGUAUGCCGACAACCUCCCUCUGUUCCGGAAGUGGUACCCGACCACCGAUGGGUCCUCGUGUCCGCGUAGGCCCUAGGGCGAACGAGGACACUCGAGUCCGAGGAAUGAGCACCCAGCCGCGAGUGGCAACGGGCAAGGAAGAGGACAAUAACAUGGAAGGCAUUGACCGCACGUCGACAACGCACGGCCGCGCUGGUCUAUCCCGAUACCGCACUCCUCGCGCCUCCGCCGCUCUCUCACGAAUCACGACGAGACUCAUCGUCGAGUGAGAGGCAAGCAAGGAGGUGGCCCGCCUUGCCAAGAGCAGGACCGCCUGCUUCGCACGCUAUCGGGCCGAAGCUACCACUUAAACUCCGACUUGACGAGCGGCUCCACCUCCAGCUCCAACGACAGACCACCUCACGUCGACGCCUACAUCAAGAGGGGCAUAGCCGCAUCUUAAAGGACGUGGAUGUCGCCUAGAGGGGGGUUGAAUAGGUGCUUUAAAAUAAUUAAGGUUUAGGCUUGAACAAAUGCGGAAUAAAACUAGCGUUUAAUUUGUCAAGCACAAAACCUACAAACAACUAGGCUCACCUAUGUGCACCAACAACUUAUGCUAAGCAAGAUAAACAACUAAGUGAUAGCAAGAUAUAUUACAAUAAACAAUAUGUCUAUCACAAAGUAAAGUGCAUAAGUAAAGGGCACGGGUAAGAGAUAACCGAGGCACGGGGAGACGAUGAUGUAUCCCAAAGUUCACACCCUUGCGGAUGCUAAUCUCCGUUGGAGCGGUGUGGAGGCACAAUGCUCCCCAAGAUGCCACUAAGGCCACCGUAAUCUCCUCACGCCCUCGCACAAUGCAAGAUGCCGUGAUUCCACUAAGGGACCCUUGAGGACGGUCACCGAACCCGUACAAAUGGCAAACCUUGGGGCCGGUCACCGAACCCGUACACGUGGCAACCCUUGGGGGCGGUUACCGGUACCCGUACAAAUUGCUCGGGGCAAUCUCCACAACCUAAUUGGAGACCCCGACACUUGCCCGGAGCUUCCCACCACAAUGAUUGAGCUCCGAGACACCACCAAGCUUCUAGGACGCCAAAGCAUCCACGAAGAACAAUAUCUAGGGUACUAAGUACCAAAGGUAGUAAGCUUCUCAACUUCUCACUUCCACAUAUCACCGUGGAGAAUUCAAACCGAUGCAACUAAUGCAAUGGCAAGAACACACGAAGUGGUCAAGUCCCUCACACUCAAAUCCCUCCACAACAACAAAAGCUAUGGAGAAAUAUGAGAGGAAGAACAAGGAGCUCACAAAGAACUCCAAGAUCUAGAUCCAAGGGGUUCCCCUCACAUGAAGGAGAAAGUGAUUGGUGGAGAUGUAGAUCUAGAUCUCCUCUCUCUUUUCCCUCAAGAACAAGCAAGAAUCAUUGGAGGGAUUGAGAGUUAGCAAGCUCUAAGAAUGUCAACAAUGGAGGUAGAACAAGAGCUCAACAGAUGGAUAAGACCAAGGGGGGAGAAGACCCCCUUUAUAUAGUGGGGGACGGAAUCAGACCGUUACCCCCACUUACAGCCCGAGCCCAGCGGUACUACCGCUGGCUCCAGCGGUACUACCGCUGACCCUCCGGCGGUACUACCGCUGGCUGCAGCGGUACUACCGCUCACCCUCCAGCGGUACUACCGCUGGCUGCAGCGGUACUACCGCUGAGCCCAUGGUAGCGCAAAGAAACUACCGGGCCAACCACCGCCAAGAAAGUCUUUGCAAAAAGUCCGACGCGGUACAACCGCCAAGAUGACGGUACUAAAGUCCUGGAGCGGUACUACCGCUGACCAGGGGCGGUACUACCGUUGGGACAGUGGUACUACCGCCAGCUCUAGCGGUACUACCACUAGGUCCAGCGGUACUACCGCUCGCCACUGAAAUAGCCAUAACUUUCGCAUACGAGUUCCGAAUCGAGCAAACCCAAGCUUGUUGGAUUCAGGACGACAAGAGCUAACCAAACAGCGACUGGAAAUCUUAAGACCAUGCAGAUAUGAAAAUGCCAAUGAUAUAGAGAUGUGAGUCCUCUAUGAAUGAAGAACCGGCAAAAACUCCAACAUCGAAAACAUCAUAGUAGAUGCAUAUGGACUCCGUUUUCGAUGAACUCGAGCUUGUCACGAAGAUGACCAUAAGCUCUAAAACUCACAAAGAGAAACACCAAACAAGAACCAAGAAGUAUGAUGCAAGGAUGCAAAUGGUUUGAGCUCUCAACGAACGAUACGAUCAAGCUACUCACUUGAGAGCCCCCCUUGAUAGUACAGCAAUCUAUCCUAAACAGAAAACCUAUCAAGGGCAAACCUAUACCUUGCACCUCGUCCUCUUGAGCUAGAUGAUGAUGAUCUUGGCUUCCUCAAGAUGGACCACCUUUCUUGAUUGCGUUGGCUUGAUGAAGACUAGUUGAUUGCUCCCCCAUACUCACUAUGGGUGAGCCACUCUUCAGCAUAUCUUCACUAGUCCAUUGCCACCACAAUGGACGGCAAGCUUCAAGCAUGAUAUCUUUGUGCUGAUCCACUUGAACUUGCACAUCGCAAUCUUGAUGACGAUCACAACUUGACGUCAUACUUCAUGGGUUGUAUGAGAUCUUCCCUUUGACGCAAGCCCAUGGAAACACACCUAACCCCACAUAGAACUCUCACGAAGACCAUGAGUUAGUACACAAACACGUAAUGGACAAUGCUUACCAUACCAUGGGAUCACUUGAUCCCUCUCGGUACAUCUUGUACGCUUUGUGUGUUGAUCAUCUUGAUUUACUCUUUGUCUGAGAUCUUGAUCAACCUUGUGUCUCUAUCACCAUUCUUUGGAUAAUACCUAGAAUACCAUCUUGAUCAUCAUAUAAACUCCUUGAACCCAACAGAUGGAUUUCAAGAAGUGCCUAUGGACAAAUCCUAUAAAUGUAACUUAAGGCAACCAUUAGUCCAUAGCAAUUGUCAUCAAUUACCAAAACCACAUAUGGAGAUAUAUGCUCUAACAGCAUAGAUGACCGAAAGGGGAAGGGGCCGACAAGAAAAUGAUGAUUUUCUCCAUCCAUUGUUGUUGUGUUUAUAUUUUAACUAUGGAGGAGCAUAGCCGCAUUGACAACCGAAAGAGGGGAACGGCCCAGCAAGAAAAUGAUGAUUUUCUCCAUCCUUCGUUGUUUUGUUUAUAAUUUACCUAUGUUUUAAGUAGCUUAUAGUAUGGAUUUCACAUCGUUGAACUACAAUGAACAAUGCAUCUUUUGUCCAACGAUGAAAUGUUAACCCAAUGAACUACAUGUGAUUGAUCGGCUUUUAGAUAGCGUUGCAUCGUCUUUAAGGUUUCAAAUAUAAGGAACACAGGUAUAAGGCACAUCCACACGAGUUUGAGGGUCCGGAUUUACCCACCGCAGCUGUAAAGGCUCUAAGGGUGCGUUCGGUUGCAGAGACAUGCUAGGAUGGUUGAGGGCAUCCCCAACCACCUGGUUAGGGGUAGUCAUUUUUUUGUUUGGUUGAAAGGGUGGUGUUAUCUCAUGUUUGUUUGGUUUAAGGGAUAUAAAUGAAGGAUAAGGGUGCGACCUCGGCAGCGCGAAGGAAGGAGGCGACCGGCUGGUGACAGAGGAACGGGAGGAGCAGCGGCAUGGAGGAAGGAUAGGAGAGGCCGACGACGCGGAGGUAUGAGAGGAGCGGCCGACGACGCGGAGGUAGAAGAGGAGCGACCGAUUGUGCGGAGGAAGGAGAGGAGCGGUCGACGGCGCGAACAUAGAAGAGGAGCUGUCGACAACACGAACAUAGGAGAGGAGCGACCGGCAACGCGAAGGGCGAAGAGGAGCGACCAACGACUCGAGGAAAAAGAGGAGCGACCGACGACACAAAGGGCGGGGCAGAGCGGCCAACGGCAUGAGGAGAGGAGCGGCCGGCCAGCGAACACAGUGCACCCCCACCCCCACCGCAUCUCUCCCUGUCCGUCGAAGGAUAUCCCUGUAACCAAACGCACCCUAAGUGCCACAGCUAGACCUGCCCGGUCCAGGCAACAGCCUCAGACAGGCACUAUUGAGGGCAGAGAACUUUUCAAACAAACUUGUACAGUGGAGAUACAGAGCCCCCACCACAUCCGAUAACUGUGUUCAACAAUCUGAGGUUUACAUACGGGACCGGGAUAAUGUUCCCAAACUGACACGCGACUGCCCUAUGUACUUAGUGUAACAUAUAGCACCUUUCCAACCACCAAACAAAAUCCAUCUCCAAACGAACAGCCUCUUACAACCCUGUGAAACGUCCCGGAUGACUAUCUAUUUGAAAUGAAUCGCAAAAUUUUCUAUAACAUGAACUAAAGUGCUAAUUAAAUUGCUGCCCAGACUGUAACCGGAUAAGCCAAUCCUAGAUCACAUGAAAGCUUAUAGAAUGAGGAGAAACGGGUUUUACAUCAUCCCAGUAACAAACCUGCAACAAGAAAUGACAGUGUAACUGAACACAUUAGCUGAAUACAGAUAUGAUGCUACACGAAAAUGUAUGAUCAGCACUCUGUAAGAUGACUUGCCUUUACAAACUGAACCUCUUAAGCAGGUUGCUGUUCCACUAUCCACUAUUGGUCAGGAGUCAGCACUGCAAAACAACAAGGCAGCCAUUAGGAACAUACACUUUGGAAGGUUAACAAAGCAGCCAUUAGAAACACUUGGCACAAAAACCAGUUAAUGAACUUGUUUGAUAGAUUAACUAGAAUUUUUUAAACAAUGUGCAUACGAAAAACUUAUUGCUACACGCCUCAAGUUUCGUUCUCUAUUAAACACCUCAUCCGUUUACCAUAUUUGCCAUAUAUAUAUUGGUGGACACGAUCAACUGGGCAAAAACAACAAAGAAGAGAUGACAUGUUAGUUGCCACAUAAACAGUAAAAAUAAUUGUUAAAUAGGCCAAGGACAGAGGUUUGGUUUCACAGGAUUUUAUUUAGAAAUUGUUGGGCUAGCUUCCAAAACGUAAUUAAUGGGAUUCGUAAGUCAUUUGAACUCCCCCAAGCUCCCAGGUUAUUGGGACACUCAUCCGACUUCAGGUAGUCAGAAGAUCAAAGGUUUGCCCUAAAGCUAAAGGUCAAAUGGUUAGGCAACUGAAGGAUAUCUAUAUUUCCAGAAUAGGCAAAUAUCAUCCAGCAGCAGGUUUUCCUUAAGAUUAUUGGUGCACUGGGAGAAAAGACCAAAAAGGAUUUGGGACUGUACACUUGCUCAACUACAGCUUUUAUGCUGAUGGUUCUUCUUUGUUCGUACCCCACUGUUCCUCACUAUCAUUUCCAUUCACAGCAACCUCAACAGCAUCUUCUUGGCUUUCUUCUGCUCCGUCAUCUUCAAAAACCUGUUGAACCAAGAUGGCGUUAUCAUUUAUGCAAGGAUGGAAUGUGAUGGGGACCAAAAAAAGAAGAUAAAAAAUCUUUACAUUUAAAAUAGAUGCAGUACCUUCCAUAAGUAGACCUGACUAAACCAACACUAUGUACCAAACAGGCUGCGUUUGGCAGCUCAGCUUUUGCAGUUUUUUUAUAAUAUGAUUUUUUAUACACCAUAGUUUUUUUCUAAAGGUCUUCAUUCAUACUGUGGUGUUUUAUAAACCGUUUUGACAACUUUGGUGUGUUUGGGAUCAACAAAUACCACAGUUUUAUAAACCAUAGUAUUUUCACAGUACUUCAAAAAGAGGUCUUGACCACUUUUUUGUACACCAAACUGAAAAAACUGGCUUUUAGAUAACAGAAGCAUUCAUUGUCCAGGCAUUGAAAUACUGAGGUUUUAGAUCACUAUGAUUUUGAAAAUACUGUGCUUAUGCCUUGAUGGUUACCCAGUGUAGACGUAAAAUAAUUCCUAUUAGGCGCUUGUUUGGAUUGCAACAGGAAAUACGAAAUAAAAAUAAAUAUCCCUUUCCAGGCCAACUGAGUUGGAUCAAAGUGUAUCCAAACAAGCCCAAAAGAGAUUAAAGUAUAUAGUAACAUACAAUGCAUGAGGAUGAGGAUCUGGGCAAAGCAAAGAUAAAACUAAAAAUCAAAAUACUGAGCAAUCGGUUCCAAGCCUUAGGGACCAAACUCUCUUGCGCACCACCAAUGGGAGGAGAUGAGUGGGGAGGACGAAAGAGGAAGAAGAAGAGGAUGAGGAUUGGGGGGGCUGAGAUCACGUCGACUACCGAGGAGACGGCCACCGGGACGUUAAAUGGGGCGAGGAAUUACACAAGGGAGGUGGGCACGAACGUCCACACCCUAGCACUGUCCAAAACAAAAUACCAAAUAAUUUGUGCAUUUGUAAGCUCACCCUAAUGUGUUGGAGCGAAAUUUGUAUCACCAAGAAAAGUAUCAAAUGGCAGAAAAAUACCGCUCGGCAAGCUCACCUUACAACCAAGAAUAGUAGAAACACACUGACAACGAAUACACUUAUUCUCUAUAAUCAGACACAAUAAGAGAAACUGCUUUCGGCCCAGAGGAUAAUAGCAUGGGAUAUCUUCCGAAAGAAGAUAAACGAAACAAGGUUCCCCACUAACAGAUAAUGACUAUUUCAUGGAAAGGAUCAUGAUUAGUAACUCUUCAACGUUUAGUCUUUAUACCAUUGUUAUUGUCUUAGUUGACAGACAAGGAAAGGAUGAUGCAGUGCAAGUGGAUGGUGAUGCAAAACACAC
This 31725-nucleotide long non-coding RNA is filed under the name Hordeum vulgare. RNAcentral's name for it is "long non-coding RNA (HVUL_LNC015368)". Lineage: Eukaryota; Viridiplantae; Streptophyta; Magnoliopsida; Poales; Poaceae. The record is from RNAcentral.